Molecule: ribosomal RNA, 2145 nt
Filed under: Triticum aestivum (bread wheat)
Lineage: Eukaryota; Viridiplantae; Streptophyta; Magnoliopsida; Poales; Poaceae
Description: partial small subunit ribosomal RNA
Source: RNAcentral
AUGUGUUCAUUCACAGUUCCUCCGGCCGUGCUGCAGCUGUUCCUGCUGCUCUUCUUAGCCUCUCCCGCCACUGCAUGCACCGAGCAGGAGAAGCGCAACCUCCUCCAGUUCCUUGCCGGGCUGUCGAGUGAUGGUGGCCUCGCCACGUCUUGGUGUAAUAAUGGCGCGGACUGCUGCGAGUGGGAAGGCAUCUCCUGCAAUGGAGAUGGGGCCGUCACUGGGGUCUCCCUGGAGUCUAAAGGACUUGAAGGGCCCAUCUCUCCGUUCCUCACCAACCUCACCAGCCUGCUGCACAUCAACCUCUCGCACAACUCGCUCUCCGGUGGUCUUCCGGCGGAGCUCAUGUUCUCCAGAAGCAUCAUCGUCCUCGAUGUCAGCUUCAGCCGGCUCAACGGACCACUGCCCGAGCUUCCGUCCUUGGUUACCACUGACCGGCCUCUGCAGGUACUCAACAUCUCAAGCAACCAGUUCGGCUCAGAAUUUCCAUCAGCCACAUGGAAGGUGAUGAAGAAUCUUAUCGCGCUCAACACCAGCAAUAACAGCUUCAGUGGGCACAUACCUUCUUCUCUUUGCGUUAGCUCGCCAUCUUUGGCUUUGCUUGACCUCUCCUACAACCAAUUGAGUGGCGACAUCCCAAACACACUGGGUAAUUGCUCCAAGCUCAAAGUGCUCAAGGCUGGCAACAAUCACCUAAGUGGGAUUCUGCCUGUUGAAAUCUUCCACGCUACCUCGCUAGAGUACCUCUCCUUCCCCAACAAUGGUGGUUUACAAGGAGAACUUGAUGGAGCACACAUAGUCAAACUCAGUAGUCUGCUUAUUCUUGACCUUGGAGGGAACAGUUUCAGUGGAGCCAUCCCAGAGUCCAUAGGUCAGCUCAGGAGGCUGGAGGAGCUCCAUUUGGGCAGCAAUAACAUGUCUGGGGAGCUGCCAUCAACUAUGAGCAACUGCACAAAUCUCAAAACCAUUGAUCUGAAGAUCAACAACCUCACUGGAGAUCUAGGGAAGGUAAACUUCGCCACCCUACAGAAUCUAAAAAGUUUAGAUCUCAUGGAGAAUAAUCUUGGUGGCAUAGUUCCAGAAAGCAUUUACUCAUGCAGCAAUUUGACUGCACUGCGGUUGUCAGCCAACCAUUUCCAUGGUGAAAUCUCAUCAAGAAUUGGCAAUCUGAAGCACCUGUCCUUCCUAUCAAUUAGUAGAAACUCCUUUACGAAUAUCACAAAAGCUUUGCAUGCUCUUAAGAGCUGCAGGAACAUCAGCACUCUGCUUAUUGGCAGAAACUUUAUGAAUGAGGCCAUGCCACAAGAUGAAAGCAUUGACGGUUUUCAGAAUCUUCAGUUUCUCGCCAUGCACCAGUGUUCAUUGACUGGAAGAAUACCUACUUGGUUAUCAAAGCUCACAAGGCUGAAGGUACUGGUAUUAUCUAAAAAUCAACUUACUGGACCAAUGCCAAGCUGGAUCAACUCCCUAAACAACCUCUUCCAUCUGGACGUAUCAAACAACAGUCUUUCUGGGAAAAUCCCAGUCACCUUGAUGGAGAUGGCAAUGCUAAAACUAGAUAAGCCUGCCAUCUAUUUGGACCCAAGUCUCGUUGACCUUGAUCUACUUAUUUAUGCUGUGGAUGCAUCAAAACUUCAAUACCGCAUAAACAGUGAUUGGUGCAAAGUGCUGAAUCUCGGUAACAAUAAAUUCACAGGUGUGAUCCCACAAGAGAUUGGUCAGCUGAAAGCACUCCUUUACCUGAACUUGAGUUCCAACAACUUCUAUGGAGAGAUCCCACAAUCAAUCGGCAACCUCACUAACCUUCAGAGGUUAGAUUUGUCUAAUAACCAUCUGACUGGUGAAAUUCCUGCAGCAUUGGAGAUCCUUCACUUCCUUUCAGAGUUCAACAUUUCUAACAAUGACCUAGAAGGACCUAUUCCAACAACAGGCCAGCUGAGCACAUUUCAAGCUUCUAGUUUUAAUGGGAACCCAAAGCUGUGCGGCCCUAUGCUUAUUAACCAUUGUAGUUCGGUUGAAGCAGCUCCCAUCUCCAUCGUUUCUGCAAAAAAAUGCAGCAGUAAGGUCAUUUUUGUGACAGCCUUUGGUGUGUUCUUUGGGGUAGGAGUGCUAUAUGAUCAGUUAGUAUUAUUUAGAUAUUUUGGCUAA